Molecule: ribosomal RNA, 450 nt
Filed under: uncultured bacterium
Lineage: Bacteria
Description: partial 16S ribosomal RNA
Rfam family: Bacterial small subunit ribosomal RNA
Source: RNAcentral
GUGGGGAAUCUUCCGCAAUGGACGAAAGUCUGACGGAGCAACGCCGCGUGAACGAUGACGGCCUUCGGGUUGUAAAGUUCUGUUAUACGGGACGAAUGGUACGACGGCCAAUACCCGUCGUAAGUGACGGUACCGUAAGAGAAAGCCACGGCUAACUACGUGCCAGCAGCCGCGGUAAUACGUAGGUGGCAAGCGUUGUCCGGAAUUAUUGGGCGUAAAGGGCGCGCAGGCGGCGUCGUAAGUCGGGCUUAAAAGUGCGGGGCUUAACCCCGUGAGGGGACCGAAACUGCGAUGCUAGAGUAUCGGAGAGGAAAGCGGAAUUCCUAGUGUAGCGGUGAAAUGCGUAGAUAUUAGGAGGAACACCAGUGGCGAAAGCGGCUUUCUGGACGACAACUGACGCUGAGGCGCGAAAGCCAGGGGAGCAAACGGGAUUAGAAACCCGUGUAGUCC